ACUCCUACGGGAGGCAGCAGUGGGGAAUAUUGCACAAUGGAGGAAACUCUGAUGCAGCAACGCCGCGUGGAGGAUGACACUUUCGGAGCGUAAACUCCUUUAUAUAGGAAGAUAAUGACGGUACUAUAUGAAUAAGCACCGGCUAACUCCGUGCCAGCAGCCGCGGUAAUACGGAGGUGCAAGCGUUACUCGGAAUCACUGGGCGUAAAGAGCGUGUAGGCGGGUUAUUAAGUCAGAAGUGAAAUCCUAUGGCUCAACCAUAGAACUGCUUUUGAAACUGGUAACCUAGAGUAUGGGAGAGGUAGAUGGAAUUUCUGGUGUAGGGUAAAUCCGUAGAGAUCAGAGGAAUACCGAUUGCGAAGCGAUCACUGGAACAUUACUGACGCUGAGACGCGAAAGCGUGGGGAGCAAACAGGAUUAGAUACCCUGGUAGCGACUGA
Molecule: ribosomal RNA, 440 nt
Filed under: uncultured bacterium
Lineage: Bacteria
Description: bacterial SSU rRNA
Rfam family: Bacterial small subunit ribosomal RNA
Source: RNAcentral